GCCGGGAUCGCCUAGUCCGGUAGGGCGGCAGGUUGCUAACCUGUUGCGGGUAACCGUUCCUGAGUUCAAAUCUCAGUCCCGGCG
This 84-nucleotide transfer RNA is filed under the name Microcaldota archaeon. Its description in RNAcentral is "tRNA-Ser". It matches the Rfam family "tRNA". From Rfam's summary of the family: Transfer RNA (tRNA) molecules are approximately 80 nucleotides in length. Their secondary structure includes four short double-helical elements and three loops (D, anti-codon, and T loops). The record is from RNAcentral. Lineage: Archaea; Nanobdellati; Microcaldota.